Molecule: ribosomal RNA, 801 nt
Filed under: Triticum aestivum (bread wheat)
Lineage: Eukaryota; Viridiplantae; Streptophyta; Magnoliopsida; Poales; Poaceae
Description: partial small subunit ribosomal RNA
Source: RNAcentral
AUGGAGAACGACGGCGUCCCCAACGGACCAGCGGCGCCGGCGCCUACCCAGGCGACGCCGGUGGGGCGGGAGCAGGACCGGCUGAUGCCAAACGCAAACGUGAUCCGCAUCAUGCGCCGCGCGCUCCCUGCCCACGCCAAGAUCUCCGACGACGCCAAGGAAGCGAUCCAGGAAUGCGUGUCGGAGUUCAUCAGCUUCGUCACCGGCGAGGCCAAUGAACGGUGCCGCAUGCAGCACCGCAAGACCGUCAACGCCGAAGACAUCAUGUGGGCCCUAAACCGCCUCGGCUUCGAUGACUACGUCGUGCCCCUCAGCGUCUUCCUGCACCGCAUGCGCGACCCCGAGGCGGGGACAGGUCGUGCCGCUGCAGGCGACAGCCGCGCCAUGACGAGUGCGCCUCCGCGCGCGGCCCGGCCCGUGAUCCACGCCGUGCCGCUGCAGGCUCAGCGCCCGAUGUACGCGCCCCCAGCUUCGGUGCAGGUUCAGAAUCAGAUGCAGCGGCCCGUGUAUGCUCCCCCGGCUCCGGUGCAGGUUCAGAAUCAGGUGCAGCGGCCUGUGUACGCUCCCCCGGCUCUGCUACAGUACCAGGUGUUCGGUGGAGAGCGUGUCAUGACCCAGCAAUACUACGGGUAUGGGUAUGGGGAAGGAGCGUACGGCGCAGGUAGCAGCAACGGAGGAGCCGCCAUUGGCGACGAGGAGAGCUUGUCCAACGAUGUGCCGGCGCCGGGGGAGGGCACGGAGGAGCCAGAGCCAGAGCCAGCAGCAGAAGAAUCGCAGGACAAGCCCGUCCAAUCUGGCUAG